AGCCUCAUGCUCUGUUGACAACAGUUCUAAGGAACUGAUGUCAACAGAGCAUGAGGCUGU
MicroRNA precursor from Oreochromis aureus, 60 nucleotides. The record is from Ensembl. Lineage: Eukaryota; Metazoa; Chordata; Actinopteri; Cichliformes; Cichlidae.